Molecule: ribosomal RNA, 466 nt
Filed under: uncultured bacterium
Lineage: Bacteria
Description: partial 16S ribosomal RNA
Rfam family: Bacterial small subunit ribosomal RNA
Source: RNAcentral
GAUGAACGCUGGCGGCGUGCUUAACACAUGCAAGUCGAACGGAAAGGCUCCUGCUUGCAGGGGUACUCGAGUGGCGAACGGGUGAGUAACACGUGGGUGAUCUGCCCUGCACUUCGGGAUAAGCCUGGGAAACUGGGUCUAAUACCGGAUAGGACGAUGGUUUGGAUGCCAUUGUGGAAAGUUUUUUCGGUGUGGGAUGAGCUCGCGGCCUAUCAGCUUGUUGGUGGGGGAAUGGCCUACCAAGGCGUCGACGGGUAGCCGGCCUGAGAGGGUGUACGGCCACAUUGGGACUGAGAUACGGCCCAGACUCCUACGGGAGGCAGAAGUGGGGAAUAUUGCACAAUGGGCGCAAGCCUGAUGCAGCGACGCCGCGUGGGGGAUGACGGCCUUCGGGUUGUAAACUCCUUUCGCUAGGGACGAAGCGCAAGUGACGGUACCUGGAGAAGAAGCACCGGCUAACUACGUG